GCCUCGGUAGCUCAGCUGGCCAGAGCGGUGGCUUCGUAAGCCGCAUGCCGCGGGUUCGAAUCCCGCCCGAGGCU
Molecule: transfer RNA, 74 nt
Filed under: Methanonatronarchaeia archaeon
Lineage: Archaea; Methanobacteriati; Methanobacteriota; Methanonatronarchaeia
Also listed under: 1 other name
Description: tRNA-Thr
Rfam family: tRNA
About the family: Transfer RNA (tRNA) molecules are approximately 80 nucleotides in length. Their secondary structure includes four short double-helical elements and three loops (D, anti-codon, and T loops).
Source: RNAcentral